UGUGUAUGCAGGUCAUACAUACGCGUCAAGUAUGCGUCACGUGAACGUGUUAUAAAUGUAACACUGUAUAUGCAGGUUGUACAUACGAGUCACGUGAACGUGUUAUAAACCCAGCACUGUAUACGCAGGUUAUACAUACGUGUCACGUGAACGUGUUAUAAACCCAGCACGGUAUACGCAGGUUAUACAUACGUGUCACGUGAACGUGUUAUAAACCCAGCACGGUAUACGCAGGUUAUACAUACGUGAUAUGUUGUAUACGCAUGUUAUAAUUAGGAAUCUGUUGUAUGUGCAUGGUAUAAAUAUAAUGUGUCAUAUGAAGGUGGUAUAAAUGGAACAUUGUGUAUAUAUGUAUGGUAUUAAUAACCUGCAUACUUUCAGCUAAAUUUCGUUAUUAACACAUAAAUAAUACACGUUAUGUAGGAACAUGUUAUAAAUGGAACAUUGUAUAUGUAUGUUACAAAUAUGCAAUAUUUAUAAUCCGCAUAUACAAUGUAACAUGCUCUAUAUGCGUGUUAUAAAUAUUUAAUCUGCUUUAUAUGCAGGUUAUGAAUAAAGACCAUGUUCUAUGAUCUUGUUAUAAAGGUUAACGCUGUAUAUGUAUGAUAGAAACGUGUAAUGCAGUGUAUAGGUGUGUUAUUAAUAUAUAAUACGUCGUAUGUGUGUGUUAUAUGAUAUAUGAUAUAUGGACGGGAUGUGAAAAUCCGGGGAGAACAAAAGAGCAACCGAAUAUGAAACAAAGGAAACCAAAAAAAAAAAUAAAUCUCAUUUCCUGAAAGUGUGUUGAACCGCGUCAGUAAACUGCAAGAUGCAGCAGAUGAACCGGAUGAGCCGUGGUGCACAUUCCUCUUUCACUACUGAAGGAUGUGUGCAGGACUCAUGCAUCACUGCUCAGGACUGUGUGUGUGUGUGUGUGUGUGUGUGUGUACCUGUAGCCCAGACAUUGUGUGUGUCUGGGGGGGAGGGGAGGGGGGGGGAGAGAGAGAGAGAGAAAGAGAGGGAGAGAGAGAGAGAGAGAGAGAGAGAGAGAGAAGAGAGAAAAG
Long non-coding RNA from Ictalurus punctatus (channel catfish), 1043 nucleotides. Lineage: Eukaryota; Metazoa; Chordata; Actinopteri; Siluriformes; Ictaluridae. The record is from Ensembl.